AUGGGUGAGUCACCCCCAGCCUAACUAGGCUCAACGUGUUGAACAGGCUGCAGGUGUGUGCACAGCGUGGACCCGCAGUGCUGCGCUCUGUGGCACAGUCAAAGGGGACAGGAUUUGCCCUGGGAGAAUCCUGCUCUGUGGCCCCUGAGAUGCCUGUGUCUGAGGAAGGGGAGGAGCAGGAAGGAGAUUAGAAGGUUGAGGAACCAAAUCAAGAUUCCUGCUUCCAGGCUGUGCUGACACGUUCACCCAUGGUGUUGUUCUGAGGAACAGGAUCAUCUGCAGCAGAAAAAGGAGGUCCACAGAGAUGAAGAGUGUGGUCUGUCAACACAAG
This 331-nucleotide long non-coding RNA is filed under the name Equus caballus (horse). RNAcentral's name for it is "lncRNA (ENSECAG00000051422.1)". The record is from RNAcentral. Lineage: Eukaryota; Metazoa; Chordata; Mammalia; Perissodactyla; Equidae.